RNAcentral lists this ribosomal RNA (468 nucleotides) under uncultured bacterium. RNAcentral describes it as "partial 16S ribosomal RNA". It matches the Rfam family "Bacterial small subunit ribosomal RNA", at positions 28 to 507 of the family's 1533-position model. The record is from RNAcentral.
GACGAACGCUGGCGGCGUGCUUAACACAUGCAAGUCGAACGGAAAGGCCCGGCUUUGGUGGGGUGCUCGAGGGGAGAACGGGUGAGUAACACGUGAGUAACCUACCCCUGACUUUGGGAUAACUUCAUGAAACUGGGGCUAAUAGCAGCUAGGAUCUCCCGCUGCAUGGUGGGGGCGGGAAAGUUUCGGCGGUUGGGAAUGGACUCGCGGCUUAUCAGCUUGAUGGUGGGGUAGUGGCUUAGCAUGGCUUUGACGGGUAGCCGGCCUGAGAGGGGAGCAUGCCCCGUUGGGACUGGGCUACGGCACGGCCUCGUACCGGAGGCAGGGGAGGGGAAUAGUGCACAAGGGGCGGAAGCCUGAUGCAGCAACGCCGCGUGCGGGAUGACAGCCAUCGCGUUGUAUAGUGCUUUCGCCUGUGACGAGGCGUUAGUGACGGUACUGGGUAAAGAAGCACCGGCUAACUACGUG